AAAGUCGUAACAAGGUUUCCGUAGGUGAACCUGCGGAAGGAUCAUUACUGAUUUAGCGAACCGAGCGUUAGCGAGGUUUUGCGAUCAAUUUAUAUUUAAAACCCACUCUUUAAUGUAUAAAAUUUGUAUUAAUGAUAAAUUAAAAGAUCACUUUCAACAACGGAUCUCUUGGCUCUC
RNAcentral lists this unclassified non-coding RNA (177 nucleotides) under Glomeromycotina sp. RNAcentral's name for it is "partial contains small subunit ribosomal RNA, internal transcribed spacer 1, and 5.8S ribosomal RNA". The stretch from base 1 to 47 matches the Rfam family "Eukaryotic small subunit ribosomal RNA", at positions 1785 to 1831 of the family's 1831-position model. Lineage: Eukaryota; Fungi; Glomeromycota. The record is from RNAcentral.